RNAcentral lists this transfer RNA (72 nucleotides) under Felis catus (domestic cat). It matches the Rfam family "tRNA". From Rfam's summary of the family: Transfer RNA (tRNA) molecules are approximately 80 nucleotides in length. The record is from Rfam by way of RNAcentral. Lineage: Eukaryota; Metazoa; Chordata; Mammalia; Carnivora; Felidae. RNAcentral also lists the same sequence under 4 other names.
GCCUGGCUGGCUCAGUUAGUAGAGCAUGUGACUCCUGAUCUCAGGGUCAUGGUUCAAACCCCAUGUUAGGUA